CUGGAAAAGUAAUAUCUGGAGAACCAGGCACAAUGGCACAUACCUUUAAUCCCAGCACUCGGGAAGCUGAGGUAGGAGAACUGCCAUGAGUUUGAGGCCAGCCUGAAUUACAUAGUGAGACCCUGUUUCAAAAAAAACAAAAACAAAAACAAAAAUAAUAUCUGUCAACAGGAAUAUAACACCUUCCUCUAAAAUUCUAGUACCUAAUAACACUUUUGGUAAUUAAUCCCACACACUGGCAUAACAUCAGUUCCCCAAAAUACUUUUAAGAAUCAACUUGCCACUAGUGCUAUGUACCAUGCUCCAAAAUAAAAUCUGUGCACAUACCCUGCCCUCAGCUGACCCCAAUCUCAAACCUCUGCUCUUGCACAGUCCAGCCACACAUGCCUGGUUUUGGUCACCUCCACAGAGUCCCCUCUGGAUUUUACAAUGGAAGUGAAGAGAAAGUAAACAACUUUCUCUCUUGCAAUGAGAAACUUUACCGUUUCUCCCUGCCAGAGUUUCAGAAAAAGGGGGCCACAGAGGGUUGAGCCAGUUGGCAGACCCUACUUAUCAACAGAAAACCUGGCCAGGGAGGGAAGAGAUUCUGGAAACAGCGUUCGUGUGCGUAGAGCUGAUAGAGGCUCACAGUACUGCAAAAAUAUCCCAGAUAAGAGCAGCAGGACCACCAGCACACAGUGAUUUAUGGACUUUCUUGAAUCCCCAGAAGUACAGGGAACAUUGUGUGCAGCCCUGCAUAUCCCCACUGGGUCUGUGAUCCAAACAAGCAACCAUAUACUCCCCAGCAGCGACAAAAGUGCCAACACUGUGGAUAUUUUGUGAACGAUUACAGAGUUUGUGGUUUAAAGCACCAGAAUAUCACCUUCAUAUUAUGGGAAGAAUAGAAUCAAAAGC
Molecule: long non-coding RNA, 894 nt
Filed under: Chinchilla lanigera (long-tailed chinchilla)
Lineage: Eukaryota; Metazoa; Chordata; Mammalia; Rodentia; Chinchillidae
Description: lncRNA (ENSCLAG00000024455.1)
Source: RNAcentral